AUUCCGGUUGAUCCUGCCGGAGGCCAUUGCUAUCGGAGUCCGAUUUAGCCAUGCUAGUCGCACGAGUUCAGACUCGUGGCAUAUAGCUCAGUAACACGUGGCCAAACUACCCUACAGACCGCGAUAACCUCGGGAAACUGAGGCCAAUAGCGGAUAUCACUUUCAGACUGGAGUGUCGAGAGUGAGAAACGUUCCGGCGCUGUAGGAUGUGGCUGCGGCCGAUUAGGUAGAUGGUGGGGUAACGGCCCACCAUGCCGAUAAUCGGUACGGGUUGUGAGAGCAAGAACCCGGAGACGGUAUCUGAGACAAGAUACCGGGCCCUACGGGGCGCAGCAGGCGCGAAACCUUUACACUGCACGACAGUGCGAUAGGGGGACUCCGAGUGCGAGGGCAUAUAGCCCUCGCUUUUCUGUACCGUAAGGUGGUACAGGAACAAGGACUGGGCAAGACCGGUGCCAGCCGCCGCGGUAAUACCGGCAGUCCAAGUGAUGGCCGAUAUUAUUGGGCCUAAAGCGUCCGUAGC
RNAcentral lists this ribosomal RNA (523 nucleotides) under Haloarcula sp. Atlit-120R. RNAcentral describes it as "bacterial SSU rRNA". It matches the Rfam family "Archaeal small subunit ribosomal RNA", at positions 1 to 525 of the family's 1478-position model. Lineage: Archaea; Methanobacteriati; Methanobacteriota; Halobacteria; Halobacteriales; Haloarculaceae. The record is from RNAcentral.